CCUUUGGGGCUGGUUCACAGGUGGUGCAUGGUUGUCGUCAGCUCGUGUCGUGAGAUGUUGGGUUAAGUCCCGCAACGAGCGCAACCCUCGUUCCAUGUUGCCAGCACGUAGUGGUGGGGACUCAUGGGAGACUGCCGGGGUCAACUCGGAGGAAGGUGGGGACGACGUCAAAUCAUCAUGCCCCUUAUCU
Molecule: ribosomal RNA, 190 nt
Filed under: Paeniglutamicibacter gangotriensis
Lineage: Bacteria; Bacillati; Actinomycetota; Actinomycetes; Micrococcales; Micrococcaceae
Description: partial 16S ribosomal RNA
Rfam family: Bacterial small subunit ribosomal RNA
Source: RNAcentral